CCUACGGGGUGCAGCAGUGAGGAAUAUUGGUCAAUGGACGAGAGUCUGAACCAGCCAAGUAGCGUGAAGGAUGACUGCCCUAUGGGUUGUAAACUUCUUUUAUAUGGGAAUAAAACGUUCCACGUGUGGGAUUUUGUAUGUACCAUAUGAAUAAGGAUCGGCUAACUCCGUGCCAGCAGCCGCGGUAAUACGGAGGAUCCGAGCGUUAUCCGGAUUUAUUGGGGUUAAAGGGAGCGUAGGUGGAUUGUUAAGUCAGUUGUGAAAGUUUGCGGCUCAACCGUAAAAUUGCAGUUGAAACUGGCAGUCUUGAGUACAGUAGAGGUGGGCGGAAUUCGUGGUGUAGCGGUGAAAUGCUUAGAUAUCACGAAGAACUCCGAUUGCGAAGGCAGUUCACUGGACUGCAACUGACACUGAGGCUCGAAAGUGUGGGUAUCAAACAGGAUUAGAUACCCGUGUAGUC
RNAcentral lists this ribosomal RNA (460 nucleotides) under uncultured bacterium. Its description in RNAcentral is "partial 16S ribosomal RNA". It matches the Rfam family "Bacterial small subunit ribosomal RNA", at positions 338 to 795 of the family's 1533-position model. The record is from RNAcentral.